AUUUCUGUUAAGCUCCAGUUAAGCUUUACAAGUGUUUACUAUACACAUCCAGACAUUCUGGAUUUGACAGUUUGACGAUUGGUCACACUGUUUGACGCCUCCCUGUUAAACUCUUGAGAGCCGCUUCUGCGGCUCUUUUUUU
This 142-nucleotide small RNA is filed under the name Hoeflea phototrophica DFL-43. RNAcentral's name for it is "Alphaproteobacterial sRNA BjrC1505". It matches the Rfam family "Alphaproteobacterial sRNA BjrC1505". The record is from Rfam by way of RNAcentral. Lineage: Bacteria; Pseudomonadati; Pseudomonadota; Alphaproteobacteria; Hyphomicrobiales; Rhizobiaceae.